Molecule: long non-coding RNA, 445 nt
Organism: Eutrema salsugineum
Lineage: Eukaryota; Viridiplantae; Streptophyta; Magnoliopsida; Brassicales; Brassicaceae
Exons: 2
Source: RefSeq, a predicted model, not a curated record
AAAACAGUCCAGUCCUGUAAAUCCUGUCACGAUGAUGAAUUUCCCUACUUCUCUCUUAGUCGUGUUCGUAUGUUCUGGGGCCGUAUUAAGUCGAGUAGCAGAUGCGUUUUGUCUGGCCGAAAUAGGAGGAUCAUGCAGCGACUGCGCAACGAGGUGUUCAUCAACAUUUGGUGGUUUUAUUGGAGACUACUGUGAUGAGGAAGGAUCUUGCCGAUGCACCUACAAAUGUAUGAAUUGUAGCGUGACGUAUGGGUUCUUCAAGUUAGGGUGUUUGGACCAAGAUUGCCAAACAACUUGCGAUGAGAAGCUACAUGACCGAGGUGUAGACAUCCAUGGUUAUUGUGAACGUAACAAGUCUGAGGGCUUCACUUGCAUGUGUGAGUUUAAGAGUCCUGAUUGUAUGAUUUAUGAAUAAUUAUGAUUUAUGAAGUAAUUAUGAGAGAGA